Molecule: non-coding RNA, 561 nt
Filed under: Glossina pallidipes
Lineage: Eukaryota; Metazoa; Arthropoda; Insecta; Diptera; Glossinidae
Description: eukaryotic small subunit ribosomal RNA
Rfam family: Eukaryotic small subunit ribosomal RNA
Source: RNAcentral
CUGGUCUAUCCUGCCAAUAGCCGUAUGCUUGUCUCAAAGAUUAAGCCAUGCAUGACUAUGUAUACACGAAUUAAAAGUGACACCGCAAAAGGCUCAUUAUAUUCGUUACGGUCCCGUAGAUCGGUAAUAGGUGGUUGGACAACAGUGGUAACUCUAGAGCUAAUACAUGCAAUAUAAAUACGAACUAAUUGAACGUGUGCUUCUCUUAGGCUAAAACCAAGCGACGACCAUUUUGUCGUAUACCGAUUGAACUCUGGAUCGCUUCCAGAUCGUACGGUCUUGUGCCGACGACAGGUCUUUCAUAUGUCUACCCUACCACCUUUUGAAAGUAGUAUUUGGGGCUACCAUGGUUAGAUUCCGCAGAGAAACGGCUACGACAUCUAAGGAUGGCAGUAGACACAUAACUUACCCACUCCCAGCACGGUGAGGUAGUGACGAAAAAUAACAAUGCACGACUCAUAUACGAGGCCCUGUACUUGCAAUGAAUAUGCUUUAAAUUCUUUAACAAGGACCUAUUGUAGGCCAAGUCUGGCGCCAGCCUAAAAUUUAAUGGAAUUGGCG